CAGUCUGGUGCACCGGCCUCCUGUGGGUCCGAAUUUCAUCCUGAAGGCAGCUGCGGCUUCUGUCUGAGGAUCUACGAUGGGUACAAAGGAUAGCCGACUUCCUCUGGUCAUCUCACGAGCAGGCGUUUGGUGAGCGGCGACUCCGGUCGUCCGGGAAUGCAGACUUUCCGGAAGACGAGCCCUCCCCCCAGCCCUACUUAGCCCGCCUCUCUAGGAUUUAGGCGCGCUCCUCUCUCCCUCCUAGUUUCGCCCCUCCCCCUGCUCGGUGCUUUUGCGCAGGCGCUUUUGGCGGGCGGCGGCUGUGGAGUUGGCGGGUCGGCGCUUGCGCGCUGGGGUACCCCGCGGUUCUCUCCUGGGGAACCCAAGGUGUGGGGCCGCGUACCUCCAGGUGCGGUGGGCUGUCUCACCCGCCUGUUGGCGGGAGAUCUGAACCUGGGUCUCCCUGGAGCCUUCCGGUGGGCGUGAGGCUAGGACAGAGUUACUUUUUUCAUGUAAGCGUAUUUAUUUGUUUCCAGCCACAGUUCCCCAGCUACCAUUAUUUUGUUACGGACGUUAAGCUUAUUAAAUUUAUAUCUCCAGUACUCUCUUGGGUUUCAUUGCUUUUCCUCAAGGGCCGAGCGCCAGAAUGAAGGAGUCAAUCAAUCCAUCAGUCAUCCUGCCUUGGGAGUUCUAAUUCCCACACCCAGGGGCCACAAACUCCUGGCCAUGAUUGUCUAGUGAUGGGGUGAAGGAUGAAAGUAUUAAUUAUUAAGUCUUCGAUGACAAGUUGUAUCAUAUUUUUGUCAUGCUAUACUUUCAUUGUGCGCUUAAGUGAUGGCAGUGCAAUCUCGACCUACCUUUGGGUCACAACGCAGUGAAGUCACAGGAUGUAAGUCCGAAUUCCCGUCUUUUGCAGUUUUCCCUCUUUCGCUUUUCUUCAGCCUUAGGGAGAGUUAAUACUUGGCUUGUGGUAUGUGAAGCAGGUCUGGGAACCAGAUGAAUCAUGCCAGUGCUGAGUGGAUCCUGUCUUUAUGUGAAGCUUUUUUUUUUAUUUUUUAGAUUGUUUCAUUAAAUUAGUAUUUUUCUUGAUGGUUUAAAUUUUUGGCAUCCCUUUAAAUUUUGCACCUGAGUCAUUUGUCUCUCACUGGAGCCUGGUCCUCGUGCUAGGUUUGGACUUACAGAAUUGAAAGGACAAAGUCUUGACUUUUGGGGGGUUUACAUUCUAAUGGGAAAGAAAUUGGCAAUUAAUUCAUUUCAUUAAAUUAAAGAGGCAUAUAAAACAAUUUAAAAGGGUAGAGAAUAGGUAUAAGGGGCUUGGUUAAGGACUUUGGGUGGGUGGUCAGAAAGGUUUCUGAGGCUUUGGGCUAAGAUCAGAAUGUUGAGCUGGUAAUGCAGAGACACGAAUGUCCUUGGCUUGUUCCAAGGCUGGAAGGAAGUCUAGAGCCUAUGGAUCGAAAGACUGUAGGAGCUGAGGUCACAGAGGUAGAGGCCAGAUCCUGCAGGACUUAAGUUGGUUUACAUGUAGAGUUUAGUUUCUUUUCUAGCAGUCCGUAACUGUUGGAGGGAUUUUAGCUAGGGAGUGAUUUGUUGAAUGAAUAUUAAAACUAUGGUUGCUUUUCUAUCUACUAGGCACUUUGUAAAUGUUAGCCUUUAAUUCUCAUAAUAAACUUAGCAUUUGCAUUUUUUGAUGGUGCUUAAAAGUUUAAAUGCAUUCCCACAGAAGCACACAGAUAGUAAGCAAAAAUUCCAACUCCAAUCUUUGGGAUAAAUCCAUGUAGUUUCCUUUAUGUUAUACUGAGAAGUAAUAAUUGUGGGAAGCCCACUUGUUUAUAGUUUUUAUAACUUCCCCAUUUGACUUUAGAGCUCAUCUUUAUUCACCUCUUUUAUUUUUAGAUGUAGAAAAAUAUAUGAAAUUGGAGGGUUGGGGAGGUUCUUUUUAAGUUAGUUGAGCACCUAUACGAUAACCUUUGAAUCUUGACCACAGCUUAAAAGGUGUUCAUCAGCAGUUAUAUUUUAAAUUUAUUUUCAGAAAAGGGCUAAGAUAUUGGAAAAACUAAAAUUACUAUUGUAGUAUAAGGUAAUAUAAAGAGCGAAGCAUGUUUUAUUCUAUGUUGGAAUAGUUAGUCUUUUUCUUUAGGUUUUUUGUGGGAGGGGGUUGCUCUUUUUGAGAGCCACACCCACGACAUGUGGAGGGUCCCAGGCUAGGGGUCUAAUCGGAGCUGUUGCUGCUGACCUGCACCACAGCCACAGCAAUGCAAGAUCCAAGCCGAGUCUUUGACCUACACCACAGCUCAUGGCAAUGCAGGAUCCUUAACCCACUGAGUGAGGCCAGGGAUCAAACCUGAAGCCUCAUGGUUCCUAGUCGGAUUCGUUUCCCCUGCGCCACAACGGGAACUCCUUCUUUAGGUUUUUUAAGUUACUUAAUAUUUAUUUUAAUUGCUAGAGCUUGGAUUAUGUUGAAAUAUUAUUCUUAACUGAUAAUUAACUUGUUGACUAGGUUCAGGAGCACAUGUUAGUUUCAUUUUUAGUGAGAAAUUGAGAAAGGGCCAUUCCCUGUUUUGCUAGAAGUCAGCAGAUGCGAAUGCCUCUUUCUGCGAUCGGUAACAGAAUUGUUGAAUUUUUAGGUGCUAAAUAAGUGCAGAGAGAAUUGCCCUUAUUCUUUCAGCAAAUCCUUAUUGCAGGCCUGUAGCGUGCAAGACAUUGUGGAGUGUCUGGAAAUAACUGGGAUGUGGUACCUGCCCCUACUCUCUGGGCCUGCCCCAUGAUGGACAUAGCAGAUGCUCAGUAAGAAAAACCUCUGAAUAAAAACAUCAUGAGUACAGGGGGGAGGUGAUAAGAUGUACAAAACAUAGAUAUAAUGGAACACUGGAGUCAAAUACAUCUAGUUACAGUGGUAAUUUAGAUAGAACAGAGGAGUUACUUCUGUAUGCCAAGAUACAGGACAGAGUUUCUCCACCUUGGCACUAUUGACAUUUUGGGCCAGAUAAUUCUUUGUUAUGGGGCUAUUCUGUGCACUGCACUGUGUUUAGCAGCAACCUUAGGCUCUAAUUCCCCCUCCAAGUUGUGAUAAGUGUCUCCAAAUACAGCCAAAUGUCCCUUGGGGAGCAUGUUUGCCUCUGAAUGAACCACUGCUCUUGGGGAUGUCUUUUAAGGGAACAGGGAGGAGGGAGACCUUACCUGGCAUAAGGAACAAAAUGGGGGUGAACUCAAGCGUGGGAGCAUUUAUCAGGAAAAAUUCAUUUGAUGUGAUAUAAGGGGGGUGGUGUGUAAAGUAGGCUGAUAUGAAAUGAUGCUGGAUAGGAGUGUGUUGCAUGCACACUUCAGCGUUGGAGUUUUAUUUGGGAGAGAGUGGGAACCUAUUAAGUUGUUGAGCAGAAGCGAGACAAGAUCAGAGCCUUGCGUUUUAGGAAGAUGAACCUGGCGGUUAUGUGUGUGUGACCUGAAUGAGGAUGAAGGAAAGAAGUAAUUCUGGACCAGAGAAGUGAUGAAAUCUGUGACCAUUAGAGUGUCGAGCAGGAGUUAGCAGUAAACUGCAUAUGAGGAAAAGAAAUGAAAGGUGACUACUGUUUAAACUUGAGAGAGGGACAGUGGUAGUGCCUUUAAAGAAAUUGAGAUUACUCAAGGAGAAACAAGUUAUAGAGGAAUAUGACAAAUUUCAUUUUCUAGCUUUGAGUUUCAGUUAACUGAUGUCAGAGGCCAUUCUGAAAUAAGGUUCAUUUUUGGUUCUUUCUGAAUGGUACACCAGAUUUCUAUAAAAAUACCUUUAAAUAGGAGUUCCCGUCGUGGCUCAGUGGUUAACGAGUCUGACUAGGAACUGUGAGGUUGUGGGUUCAAUCCCUGGCCUUGCUCAGUGGGUUAAGGAUC
RNAcentral lists this long non-coding RNA (3843 nucleotides) under Sus scrofa (pig). RNAcentral's name for it is "lncRNA (ENSSSCG00000060161.1)". Lineage: Eukaryota; Metazoa; Chordata; Mammalia; Artiodactyla; Suidae. The record is from RNAcentral.